UGGGCAAAUAAGGUACUGUGAAACAGCAGCAUUUCUUUUCAGAAUUAUAGUGUAGGAAAAAAAAAAAUUAUUCCUGAGUUUGCUUCCUACAAACAGUCAUCUUCAUGAUGUGGAGGUUAUUCUGUGCUUUUAUCACUUUCUAAACGCAAGGAUCUAUCCUUUUGUUCAGUCAUUUCCACCUACAUUCUGAGUUCAAGGGCUGUGGCACUAAACAGUAAAUGUAUAUUCAUCUGUGAAUUGAAUGUGAAAGACUUUUCAUUUAGUGAUGUGAUUGACUGGCUAACAUAUUUGAGCCCGUAUGGCAUACAACUUUGUUCUAAAAAAUACUGGAAAAACAGGCAGUUGCCAGCACCAUGGAAACUUGCCUUCAUUGAGAUUUGAAUUCCCAAAUAUAGAUGAUCAACGCCUACCAAUUCAAACGCUUAGAUAGGCCUUGUUACCUAGGCAACCGUGUAUUAGAAAUGAGAUAUCUGCAUUCUCUUGCAUUUCUUUGCCAAAUUUUACCUUUUACGUAGCUUUAGAGUAUGGGCUUUAAAGUUGAAUAUAUAAUUUUCUGAAAAGUAGGAUGAUUAUGACAAUUUGAAAUCCAUCAGCUUGAAAGAAAACCUCUAAGGACAGACCAGAUUCUUAUAAAUCUGAAAAUCUCUCCGUUCGAGUUUCCCCUUAAGAUUGUAGGUCGUAUCUAACAGUAUAUACCAGACAUAGUAUAUAAUGUAAUUAGAAACCAAGUCAUUGCGACUCUAGAAGUGGUUGCAUGAAAUAAUCUAGUUCUUCCCGUUAGUAACCGCUAUUUCAUCAAGUAAUAACUGUAAGUUUUUGUAAUUAUAUGGGUAACAUAAGCAUUACUUAGGUGGCAUUUGUGUCUGAACCUUUGUUAAAACUUCUCCUGUCAGGGCUCUUAUAUCAUAUAUUCUGUUUCAUGCACGUUAUCUUUCUGAUCCAGUAAACUAAUGUUGCCCUUGCCAAAAAGAGUCUGCUAACUCUCCUCUUCUCAAUGAAAUGUGAAAGUUGUCUUCAUUUUCCUGGAGGCUAGCCACCUGUGUUUUGAAGGUGUUGCCAUCUAAACUCUAAAAUUAGCUAGGAUGAAGUUUACGGCCCAUGGUGCUUCAUGAGAAAGAUCUGGAAAAGGAGCUUUUUUUGACAUGUUUUCUUUUGACCGUUGGCUAAACAAACUCCUCAAUUAAGCUACACAUUCCUCGAGGGAAAGUCAUGCGAAUUCCUCUGGGGAUUGUGAAUUGUUCAUGGUUGAGUCCACAAUGUCAUGGUUGAAAAUCAUUUAAGGUGUGUUGAAAGAAUCCAUGUCUCAGUUGUCCAAGAACAACUGAGUUCUUCACAUUACUAGUGGUGAGCAGCUUCUGCUCAGCCAUCUACCCAAGUGGAUGAUGAUGGCGGAUUAUAUUAAGUUAAAGGUACACCAGAUGUCUACUAAGAAGUACACUGUUAACAAAAACAUUAGUGUGUUGUAGCCAAGUGGGACCUUAUUUCUGAAUCUGACCAUCACAAAGAAGCCACAGCUGUGUUAGUAAGAAGCUCAAAAGAUGUUACUAUGACAACUUCUUAGUAUUUCUAAUUGAAAUGCCUCUCAAGAAAUUUCUGCCCUUGCCAAGAACUCAAAAUCUUUGUUUCAAGUGUGUAACUGAUUCAUUUUUCUCUUCUGGGAUCAUGCAAGUCAUAUAAGUGAUCAUGUUUCUCAUUUUAUUUUGACCAUCUUGAAGUUCAGGUCAUUUUUCUUUUGAAAGAAGUAGAGGUAUUCCCUGAUCAGAAAAUUUGAAUCUUAACUGUACCCACUGUGUUAAUUCUGUUUCUCAUUUUUUUCUCAACUUCUUAUACCUUCAUCUCUCAUUUCUUUUAUUCACUGAAACUUGCAAACCAUUUUGCCAUAUGCACAUAGCAUAUUGAAUAAUCUGAUAAAUGUUUUCUUUUUUUCUCUGUGUAGCCAAGAUUCCCCACCUGUUCUCAGCCCUAUGAAAUUAACAGCCAAAAGUUAAGUAGGAAAUAUUCUCCAGUCUUUACAAUCACAGGACUCAAACUAAAGUCUUACAGAUUUUUGUCACUAAGCUCCAGCAUCUCCUUUCUCUGCUGCUUUGUGCAGCUGAUUCAAACACCAGGCCCUCAUUUACAUGAGAGAGAGCCUGGACUCAGAUUAGCACAGGGCAUGACAAGAUAAAAAAUAGAUUCAUUAUUUGACCAGCUGAUGAAUCUGCCAGGAUAGCUUGUGAAUUUAAAUCACAAAAUGGUAAAAACGGAAAGGGUUUGAAGUAGUUAUAAAGUCUCUCCUUUUGUCCCUCGGCCAGACCGUGACUAAAUUAUUUCCUAUAGAUGAUUGCCUGUGGAAUUCUUGAAAAUCUCUUGAGAGAGAUCAAGCCUGGCUCAGAAUUCAUUCCUGUAGCUGAUAACUCUUGCAGGUAGAAUGCUCUUCUGCCUGGGAGAUGAACUCUUUGGUGAGAACUUGGUACGCAGGCCACCAACAGCCAAGGAUUAAUUCCUGAUAGAUUAUGGAUUCUGAGGCUCAAGUUUGUGGAGUUCACAUUUUCAUUUUCACACAGUCUCAAAGUGUUCUGGGGGAUCUACUCUGUGGCCAGACCUAUGUUCAUAUAUGCAUUUACUGUUAUUUAGAUUUCAUUCAUCACACUUCAAUGUGAGAAUCACUUACAAACCUUCAAAAAUAUUUCCUUUCAAAAAAAAAUGAAGAAAAACUAUUGCAUUUGGAAUGGAUAAGCAGUGAGCCCAAGAAACUACAUCUGAUCACUUGUGAUGGAACAUGACGGAGGAUAAUGUGAAGCUAUAUCUGAUCACUAGUGAUGGAGCAUGACAGAGGAUAAAAUAUAUAUGAAUGACUUGGUCACUGUGCUGUACAGCAUAAAUUGACAACGUUGUAAAUCAACUAUAAUAAUACUAUUGUUUUUAAUAAAUGAAAUCUAAACAUUAAAAACAAAGCAAGGGCCACUGUAGUAUAACAAAUUACAAAUAUGUAAUUUGGAUUCAAGAGACUUAAUCUUUGAUUAUGGGUUUGGAGGAAAGAAAUCUAAGUUAGGAAAUAUAUCUGGACCAAGGGGUGAGGAAUUGC
Molecule: long non-coding RNA, 3067 nt
Filed under: Sus scrofa (pig)
Lineage: Eukaryota; Metazoa; Chordata; Mammalia; Artiodactyla; Suidae
Description: lncRNA (ENSSSCG00000053492.1)
Source: RNAcentral